AUGGACAUGAAGGCCCCUGCUCAGCUCCUGGGGCUCCCAGGUGUCAGAUGUGACAUCCAGAUGACCCAGUCUCCAUCCUCCCUGUCUGCAUCUUUAGGAGACACAGUCACCAUCACUUGCCAGGCAAGUCAGAGCAUUAGCAGUUGGUUAGCCUGGUAUCAGCAGAAACCAGGGAAAGCCCCUAAGCUCCUGAUCUAUAAGGCAUCUAGUUUGCAAAGUGGGAUCUCCUCGAGGUUCAGUGGCAGUGGAUCUGGGACAGAUUUCACUCUCACCAUCAGCAGCCUGGAGUCUGAAGAUGUUGCAACUUAUUACUGUCAACAGUACAGUAGUUACCCUCCCACAGUGUUAUAA
Molecule: non-coding RNA, 351 nt
Organism: Galeopterus variegatus (Sunda flying lemur)
Lineage: Eukaryota; Metazoa; Chordata; Mammalia; Dermoptera; Cynocephalidae
Source: the annotation of a RefSeq genome assembly